RNAcentral lists this ribosomal RNA (251 nucleotides) under uncultured prokaryote. Its description in RNAcentral is "partial 16S rRNA". It matches the Rfam family "Bacterial small subunit ribosomal RNA", at positions 525 to 775 of the family's 1533-position model. The record is from RNAcentral.
ACGAAGGUGGCUAGCGUUGUUCGGUGUCACUGGGCUUAAAGCGCUCGUAGGCGGAACCGUAAGUGUCUUGUGAAAUCCCCCGGCUUAACCGGGGAAUGGCUAGGCAUACUGCGGUUCUUGAGGCAAACAGGGGUGCAUGGAACUCUUGGUGGAGCGGUGGAAUGCGUAGAUAUCAAGAGGAACGCCGAUGGUGAAGACAAUGCACUGGGUUUGUCCUGACGCUGAGGAGCGAAAGCGUGGGGAGCAAACAG